Molecule: non-coding RNA, 691 nt
Organism: Pseudopodoces humilis (Tibetan ground-tit)
Lineage: Eukaryota; Metazoa; Chordata; Aves; Passeriformes; Paridae
Source: RefSeq, a predicted model, not a curated record
GCGGAGGUGUUUACAGCGUUCAGAGGAGGACAACGCCGGAAGAAAAAGGCCAGGGAUUGCUCCCACUCCUCCUUGAGGCCUCGUUUGGUAAGGCCCGGCCACCGCGAAGAGUUCGGCUCUGCAAGCAUAAGUCUACCAGCAGGGCUGAAGCGUUUGGCCCAAGGACCCAGGCAGUCUCAGGAGACACUGACCAAGAGACAACAUCCUGGUGACGGCAGGCACUCACUGGACGGUGAGGCGGCCUUCCCUCAUGCCCCAUGUGGAUUCUCACCCCCGGGCAUCUGAGAGCUAAGUCAAAGGCUGCAACCCACAGAGGGGAUGAGAGCGGGGUGCUGGGUCUGGGACUCAUGGCCAGGGAUUUUUGAGUCAGCUUUGGAGAUGGGGCAGUCCCAGCUGUGGCCCCUUAGGCCACGUCAAGGGAAUGUUGCAUUACUGGGAACGGUGAGAAGCAUGACACAGACUCUCUUGUGAGUUGAAUAGGAGAGUGAGGUUUUUUACCUCAGAUCUUCUUUUAUAGACUGACAUGCAAAAGUACAGAAAGGUAAAAUUCUUAUUGGUCAGUGAACUAACACAUUACUAUCAUUGGUUAGUGGGGUACACUACUGUUUGACUUUCUUUUGUAAGAAAACAAGAAACUGACAGCACCUGCAAGGCUGUCUUCUGUCUUUAAGGAUUGUUUUAAUUCUUCUUU